This 1458-nucleotide ribosomal RNA is filed under the name uncultured bacterium. RNAcentral describes it as "bacterial SSU rRNA". It matches the Rfam family "Bacterial small subunit ribosomal RNA". The record is from RNAcentral.
GCCUAACACAUGCAAGUCGAACGCCGUAGCAAUACGGAGUGGCAGACGGGUGAGUAACGCGUGGGAACAUACCCCCUCGGUUCGGAAUAACUCAGGGAAACUUGAGCUAAUACCGGAUACGUCCAAAGUUUUAAUCGGCCUUGGAGAAAGAUUUAUCGCCGGAGGAUUGGCCCGCGUCUGAUUAGCUUGUUGGUGAGGUAAUGGCUCACCAAGGCGGCGAUCAGUAGCUGGUCUGAGAGGAUGAUCAGCCACAUUGGGACUGAGACACGGCCCAAACUCCUACGGGAGGCAGCAGUGGGGAAUAUUGGACAAUGGGCGAAAGCCUGAUCCAGCCAUGCCGCGUGAGUGAUGAAGGCCUUAGGGUUGUAAAGCUCUUUUACCCGGGAAGAUAAUGACGGUACCGGGAGAAUAAGCCCCGGCUAACUUCGUGCCAGCAGCCGCGGUAAUACGAAGGGGGCUAGCGUUGUUCGGAAUUACUGGGCGUAAAGCGCACGUAGGCGGAUCUUUAAGUCAGGGGUGAAAUCCCGAGGCUCAACCUCGGAACUGCCUUUGAUACUGGGGAUAUCGAGUCCGGGAGAGGUGAGUGGAACUGCGAGUGUAGAGGUGAAAUUCGUAGAUAUUCGCAAGAACACCAGUGGGCGAAGGCGGCUCACUGGCCCGGGUACUGACGCUGAGGUGCGAAAGCGUGGGGGAGCAAACAGGAUUAGAUACCCUGGUAGUCCACGCCGUAAACGAUGGAUGCUAGCCGUUGGACAGCUUGCUGUUUAGUGGCGCAGUUAACGCGUUAAGCAUCCCGCCUGGGGAGUACGGUCGCAAGAUUAAAACUCAAAGGAAUUGACGGGGGCCCGCACAAGCGGUGGAGCAUGUGGUUUAAUUCGAAGCAACGCGAAGAACCUUACCAGCUCUUGACAUGUCUCGUAUGGGGACCGGAGACGGUUUCCUUCAGUUCGGCUGGCGAGAACACAGGUGCUGCAUGGCUGUCGUCAGCUCGUGUCGUGAGAUGUUGGGUUAAGUCCCGCAACGAGCGCAACCCUCGCCCUUAGUUGCCGUCAUUCAGUCGGGCACUCUAGGGGGACUGCCGGUGAUAAGCCGAGAGGAAGGUGGGGAUGACGUCAAGUCCUCAUGGCCCUUACGGGCUGGGCUACACACGUGCUACAAUGGCGGUGACAAUGGGAUGCUGAGGGGCGACCCCGAGCAAAUCUCAAAAAGCCGUCUCAGUUCGGAUUGCACUCUGCAACUCGAGUGCAUGAAGGUGGAAUCGCUAGUAAUCGUAGAUCAGAACGCUACGGUGAAUACGUUCCCGGGCCUUGUACACACCGCCCGUCACACCAUGGGAGUUGGUUCUACCCGAAGGCGUUUUGCUAACCGCAAGGAGGCAGGCGACCACGGUAGGGUCAGCGACUGGGGUGAAGUCGUAACAAGGUAGCCGUAGGGGAACCUGCGGCUGGAUCACCUCCU